GAUGAAGAACGUAGCAAAAUGCGAUAAGUAAUGUGAAUUGCAGAAUUCAGUGAAUCAUCGAAUCUUUGAACGCACCUUGCACCCUUUGGCAUUCCGAAGGGUAUGCUCGUUUGAGUGUCAUUGUACUCUCACACUCUCCGAUCCUAUGGAUUCGGGGAGCGGUGGACUUGGGUGUUGCUGCCUUUCCCUGUGGCUCACCUCAAAUGCGUCAGUGCACCUCUUGGUUGGACAUAGUACGGCGUGAUAAGUGUCUUCGCCGGCACCUCGCAAGAGGGUGGCCGAUCGGGAGCUCUGCGCUUUCAAACCGUCUUCGGACAAUUUCUGACAUCUUGACCUCAAAUCGAGUAGGACUACCCGCUGAACUUAAGCAUAUCAAUAAGCGGAGGA
RNAcentral lists this unclassified non-coding RNA (387 nucleotides) under soil metagenome. Its description in RNAcentral is "partial contains 5.8S ribosomal RNA, internal transcribed spacer 2, and large subunit ribosomal RNA". The stretch from base 1 to 120 matches the Rfam family "5.8S ribosomal RNA", at positions 35 to 154 of the family's 154-position model. The record is from RNAcentral.